This 1333-nucleotide ribosomal RNA is filed under the name uncultured bacterium. RNAcentral describes it as "bacterial SSU rRNA". It matches the Rfam family "Bacterial small subunit ribosomal RNA", at positions 28 to 1381 of the family's 1533-position model. The record is from RNAcentral.
GACGAACGCUGGCGGCGCGCCUAACACAUGCAAGUCGAACGAGAGAUGAGGAGCUUGCUCUUCAAAUCGAGUGGCGAACGGGUGAGUAACGCGUGAGGAACCUGCCUCAAAGAGGGGGACAACAGUUGGAAACGACUGCUAAUACCGCAUAAGCCCACGGCUCGGCAUCGAGCAGAGGGAAAAGGAGCAAUCCGCUUUGAGAUGGCCUCGCGUCCGAUUAGCUAGUUGGUGAGGUAACGGCCCACCAAGGCGACGAUCGGUAGCCGGACUGAGAGGUUGAACGGCCACAUUGGGACUGAGACACGGCCCAGACUCCUACGGGAGGCAGCAGUGGGGAAUAUUGCACAAUGGGGGAAACCCUGAUGCAGCGACGCCGCGUGGAGGAAGAAGGUCUUCGGAUUGUAAACUCCUGUUGUUGAGGAAGAUAAUGACGGUACUCAACAAGGAAGUGACGGCUAACUACGUGCCAGCAGCCGCGGUAAAACGUAGGUCACAAGCGUUAUCCGGAAUUACUGGGUGUAAAGGGAGCGCAGGCGGGAGAACAAGUUGGAAGUGAAAUCCAUGGGCUCAACCCAUGAACUGCUUUCAAAACUGUUUUUCUUGAGUAGUGCAGAGGUAGGCGGAAUUCCCGGUGUAGCGGUGGAAUGCGUAGAUAUCGGGAGGAACACCAGUGGCGAAGGCGGCCUACUGGGCACCAACUGACGCUGAGGCUCGAAAGUGUGGGUAGCAAACAGGAUUAGAUACCCUGGUAGUCCACACCGUAAACGAUGAUUACUAGGUGUUGGAGGAUUGACCCCUUCAGUGCCGCAGUUAACACAAUAAGUAAUCCACCUGGGGAGUACGACCGCAAGGUUGAAACUCAAAGGAAUUGACGGGGGCCCGCACAAGCAGUGGAGUAUGUGGUUUAAUUCGACGCAACGCGAAGAACCUUACCAAGUCUUGACAUCCCUUGACGAUGCUGGAAACAGUAUUUCUCUUCGGAGCAAGGAGACGGGUGGUGCAUGGUUGUCGUCAGCUCGUGUCGUGAGAUGUUGGGUUAAGUCCCGCAACGAGCGCAACCCUUAUGGUCAGUUACUACGCAAGAGGACUCUGGCCAGACUGCCGUUGACAAAACGGAGGAAGGUGGGGAUGACGUCAAAUCAUCAUGCCCUUUAUGACUUGGGCUACACACGUACUACAAUGGCGUUAAACAAAGAGAAGCAAGACCGCGAGGUGGAGCAAAACUCAGAAACAACGUCCCAGUUCGGACUGCAGGCUGCAACUCGCCUGCACGAAGUCGGAAUUGCUAGUAAUCGUGGAUCAGCAUGCCACGGUGAAAUACGUUCCCGGGCCU